Mercenaria mercenaria is the source of this 478-nucleotide long non-coding RNA. RefSeq lists it as uncharacterized. The transcript is spliced from 6 exons. The record is from RefSeq and is a predicted model, not a curated record. Lineage: Eukaryota; Metazoa; Mollusca; Bivalvia; Venerida; Veneridae.
CAGCAUUUAUGUUCAGUAUCUCUGUUGUUAGACAAAAGUCAUAAAGACCGCGAGAGUAUGGCUGCGGGUAACAAAGACGACAAGAAGGCAAAGGUUUAGCUUAUAUCUAUAGAAGUCAUAGAAGCCGAAUUUAACAGUUUUGCCGCAAAGUUAAAGAAUGAGUUGCAGAAAGCACACACAAGGGUAAAUGAUGUAGAAAAAGAGUUAUCAGCCAAGGAAGAUGACUUCUCCAGCACUUUGAAACAAAACGAAGACAGGUACAAUUCUCUGUCACUUAAAAUGAUGAAAUUACAGGAAGAAAACAUCGAACAGAAAAACAAGACCAAACUGUCAGAAAAAAGUCAUUCCAGUGAACGCUGUUAUCUUAUGAACAUGAAUGAAGAAAACAAAAAGCACAUUGAAAGCCUAAAUGAUCUUAUUAAAUCGAUGAACAUGGAAAUUAAAAAGCUUAAAUGUGAACAUAGCAAAGAAACUGAAC